CCACUUGGUCCCUAUAAAUGGUUAUGUCUAGGGUUCUGGGUACUAGGUGCCACACACUGUUUCUCUCAAACUGAUAAAAUUCAUCAUGGUUGUAAUCCAAUUUGCAUCUUUUAAGGCUUCCUUGAUGUUCUUGGGUUCAGUAUUGGAGAGAAAGGCUGAGAAGGCAAGUGAAUUUCUAGCUCUUGAACUGGUUUGAACUCCAAAAUCUAGAGGAGUGAUUAUGUUGUAUAUAGGGUGAGAACUUUGAUGUCUCAAGUUAGAUGUCUGGGGUUCAUUCUGAGAAGAAGAAGGAAUGUUUGGCUCAUUC
This 307-nucleotide long non-coding RNA is filed under the name Nicotiana benthamiana. Its description in RNAcentral is "long non-coding RNA (NBEN_LNC026640)". The record is from RNAcentral. Lineage: Eukaryota; Viridiplantae; Streptophyta; Magnoliopsida; Solanales; Solanaceae.